CUUGUCUGGAAAUCUCUGCCAAUGCAAGGACUGUAUGGGUCUUUCUGAGCAGAAGGAUGCAGCCCAAUUAAUCAAAACAAGUAGUGAAGCUGGAAGUGACAACUGGAAAAGUAAAGGCAAACUGCAGUUUUUUGUAACUGAAUGACCAUCUAUAACACACUGAGCAUACAGCAGAAAUGAUGAGUCACGGCCUGAACCACUGACUGAACACCUGGUGGGAAGGCAGCGCCAACCCAGGGGAGCUCAGGUGCAAGCAGUGCAGCUGAGUGACUGGAAGGAGUGGAGCCAGGAGUGUCUUCCCAG
Gallus gallus (chicken) is the source of this 303-nucleotide long non-coding RNA. The record is from Ensembl. NCBI's taxonomy places the organism in Eukaryota, Metazoa, Chordata, Aves, Galliformes, Phasianidae.